CGUCCCCCCCGCCCCUGUAUCGGACCCGCAGGCUCCGCCUACUUCUGCAUUAGUCCAGCUCUCAGCAGCCGCGGAGCGAGAAGCUCGGUCGAAAAGCCGAAAAGCCGCAGAUGUUUCAUCGACUGCUGUGUCAGACACAAGUCUCCGUCCAAGGAAUAGGGCCUGUGUAACGUGUGUCACGUCCCGGUGAGAAGUUUCACCACGGAAGCUGCAGUUCCAUCGCUCACACAGAGAGCUCUGGUCAUUGGUAACGAACAGCUUGCCCUGUCCUUGUUCUGCAAUGCCCACUCCUUCAACAACGUAGGAGAGUGUUUGCCGAGGCCCCAAGCCCGAGAACAGCAACGCCCGACAAAGCCUCAGACCUUAGAACACAUUCCUCCAACCCCGGCCUUCAGCUGCAGAACGGUGGAAACCCAGCUUGAUUCUGGAUAUCCCCCUUCCCGGGAGCACAGGUCCGCUGGUGGUAGAGUGUGGAUUCUGGAGUUAGAUCGAGAUUGGAAUCUCCGUUCUGUUGUUAAUGAGCUGUGUUACAAUGGUCAAGUUGUCUAAGCUCUCUGAGCCCCCAUCCACUGCCAUGAGCUAAAGUAGCAAAGCCAGCUCUGAAACUCAGUCCCUAUGCACUAGUACUGUCGAACUGAUCAUUAAAACACCAAAAUACUAG
This is a long non-coding RNA of Tupaia belangeri chinensis (Chinese tree shrew), 661 nucleotides long. RefSeq lists it as uncharacterized. Lineage: Eukaryota; Metazoa; Chordata; Mammalia; Scandentia; Tupaiidae. The transcript is spliced from 4 exons. The record is from RefSeq and is a predicted model, not a curated record.